This 128-nucleotide non-coding RNA is filed under the name Anas platyrhynchos (mallard). RNAcentral's name for it is "Eukaryotic large subunit ribosomal RNA". It matches the Rfam family "Eukaryotic large subunit ribosomal RNA", at positions 2623 to 2763 of the family's 3401-position model. Lineage: Eukaryota; Metazoa; Chordata; Aves; Anseriformes; Anatidae. The record is from Rfam by way of RNAcentral.
GACUGGGGCAGUACACCUGUCAAAGCACAACACAGGUGUGCUAAGGCGAGCUCAGGGAGGCCAGAAGCCUCCUGUGAAGGGCAAAAGGUCUUAACUUUAAGCACUAAUACGGACUGUGAAAGUGUUGC